Molecule: ribosomal RNA, 542 nt
Filed under: uncultured bacterium
Lineage: Bacteria
Description: partial 16S ribosomal RNA
Rfam family: Bacterial small subunit ribosomal RNA
Source: RNAcentral
UGGGGAAUAUUGCACAAUGGGCGCAAGCCUGAUGCAGCCAUGCCGCGUGUGUGAAGAAGGCCUUCGGGUUGUAAAGCACUUUCAGCGAGGAGGAAGGUGGUGAGCUUAAUACGCUCAUCAAUUGACGUUACUCGCAGAAGAAGCACCGGCUAACUCCGUGCCAGCAGCCGCGGUAAUACGGAGGGUGCAAGCGUUAAUCGGAAUUACUGGGCGUAAAGCGCACGCAGGCGGUUUGUUAAGUCAGAUGUGAAAUCCCCGGGCUCAACCUGGGAACUGCAUUUGAAACUGGCAAGCUAGAGUCUCGUAGAGGGGGGUAGAAUUCCAGGUGUAGCGGUGAAAUGCGUAGAGAUCUGGAGGAAUACCGGUGGCGAAGGCGGCCCCCUGGACGAAGACUGACGCUCAGGUGCGAAAGCGUGGGGCAGCAAACAGGAUUAGAUACCCUGGUAGUCCACGCUGUAAACGAUGUCGAUUUGGAGGUUGUGCCCCUUGAGGCGUGGCUUCCGGAGCUAACGCGUUAAAUCGACCGCCUGGGGAGUACGGCC